UCACUUCAGCAGCACAUUUACUAAAACUGGAACGACCGAGUGACUCCUGCACAAGGAUGACAUGCAAAUUCGUGAAGCAUUCUAUAUUUUA
Molecule: small nuclear RNA, 91 nt
Filed under: Ochotona princeps (American pika)
Lineage: Eukaryota; Metazoa; Chordata; Mammalia; Lagomorpha; Ochotonidae
Source: RNAcentral